UACGUAGGCGGCAAGCGUUAUCCGGAUUUAUUGGGCGUAAAGGGAACGCAGGCGGUCUUUUAAGUCUGAUGUGAAAGCCUUCGGCUUAACCGGAGUAGUGCAUUGGAAACUGGGAGACUUGAGUGCAGAAGAGGAGAGUGGAACUCCAUGUGUAGCGGUGAAAUGCGUAGAUAUAUGGAAGAACACCAGUGGCGAAAGCGGCUCUCUGGUCUGUAACUGACGCUGAGGUUCGAGAGCGUGGGUAGCAAACAGG
Molecule: ribosomal RNA, 253 nt
Filed under: uncultured bacterium
Lineage: Bacteria
Description: partial 16S ribosomal RNA
Rfam family: Bacterial small subunit ribosomal RNA
Source: RNAcentral